AUGUGUAUCCCAUAGUAUGGGAAAUAAAAGAAACUGUGCUCAUGUGUAAGGCUUGGGUUUUAUUUUCUCUUUGAUUUCCCUAAAGACUUGGCUGGCCAUUCAGCGAAGCUGUAUCUGGUUGACACUAUGGAGUUCUCUCUACUUACUGCCCUGUUUAAGGAUUCAUGUGAUCAACCAAGUGUAGGGUCAGAAAGCUGUUUUGGUAGUGUGUGUGUGUGUGUGUGUGUGUGUGUAAAACUUUGAAGGGCUUUUGGUGAAAGCUUUAUUAUUGUUAAAAAUAAGACUGUGGCAUACUGGAAACCGUAGAUUAGAGUUGGUAGCAGAAGCUUCCAUCUUGGAGCUUUUAGGAGAGUAAUGGGCUCCUGGGAAGAGGAUUGAGUUCACUCUGAAGCCACUUGGUGCUCUCUCCCUCUGUAUCUUGUGCUUUUAAGUCUAGAAAGCGUAUUUACAGAGCAAUACCCUAACGAAUGGCUGUGGGCCCGCUAAAGUGCGCCAGCAAAUCCUUUUGCAACGUGUGUGAAGUGUGCCAUCUCUGUGGGGUCCUCACCCUCAGUAGGACCAUACAAAAGCCGGGAAGGCAAGAUUUGAGUGGAGGGCAAUUCCUUUUGGAAACAUGAGCCCUAUCUUGUCUUUCACCCGAAGUGCCAAUGAACCAAAUAACCCCUUCUGCUCUUCACAACAGGGACCUCUCAGAGAGGCCCAAAGUCAGACCCAUAAGGGGCCAAAUUCCUUCCAUGGGCAGGUCAUAGAACCACAAUACAGGCUCCUGCGUCUGAGCAUGCAACCCUUUGCCCUCUGGGCUCCUGCUGUGUGCAGAGCUACACUUGAUGGUAGACCUGAGUCUCACACACAUCUUUCCCUUCAGGAGUCCAAGGGUGGAGUGGAGUUCUUGAGAGAAGACUUUACUGUGUUAUAAGCUUAAAGCCCAAAGUUCUUGACGGUGAGUUUCCUUCUGGAACAUAAGGACCACUGGAGACACUAGAUUCUGUGCCCAUGCUCCUAACUAAAGUGCAUGUGUGUGUGUGUGUGUCUGUCUGUCUGUCUGUCUGAGAGUCAUCUUUCCCCCCACUCAGGAUGGCUCUUAAAAAGCCACUUAUGCCUGAAGUCAUGGGAUAACGAGAUAUUGGUGCUGGGUGGCGGGAGGGGGUGGGGAGCCCAGGGCUCAGCUUUCAUCCUGUUAAACUUUGACACUUUCUUCUCACUUGAAAGGACUUUUUCUACAUGGCUGUUAAGGUAGUAAAUUACCUAUGUGCAAACUACAACUAUGAGGCUGUGUGUGUGUGCAUGUGUGUAUGUAUGUGUAUAUAUGUGUGUCUGUAUGUGAACCUAGCAUACUGUGAGAGGGGCCACGAGGGAUCUUGUGCAACCUACUGAAUAGUGGCUUUCUAAGUGCCUUUAUAGUUGAGAGAGUUGAUAUUGAACCCAGGUCUGGGGGCUGAGGCAAACCCUGGCUCCUUGGGAACUCAUCCAUAGCUCAGAUCAACCAGUAGCCUCCUGCAUCAGCACCCACUAUGAAUGUCUUUUUCUUUUCCCCUUCUGUUCUUUUUUCUUCUCUCCCCUCCCUGCCUUUCCUCUAUUCCCUGACUCUUUGAGAUAGAGUCUAGUUAUUAGCCCAUGCUGGCUAUGAACUCACCAUGUGCAGCAGGCUUGUCUCCAGCUUUGAUCCUCCCAAGUGGUAUGGUCCCAGGCUUGUGCUGCCUCUGCAGCUCAGUUUGCGGUGGCUUCACUGACACAGACUUCUUCCUCUUUCUUUGUGUUGAAUGCCUUGUUUUAUCAGUUCUGCCUUUUCUAGGAUGCUCCGAGGAGUGCAAGAGGUUAUCAGAGUGUUCUGACAUAAGUUACUGCUUGCCUUGGAAGAAAUUAGGAGCUAGCUCUGUUGCUUUUACUGUGAUUAUUAAGU
This 1900-nucleotide long non-coding RNA is filed under the name Mus musculus (house mouse). RNAcentral describes it as "long non-coding RNA chr1:189778640-189780540". Lineage: Eukaryota; Metazoa; Chordata; Mammalia; Rodentia; Muridae. The record is from RNAcentral.